UACGUAGGGCCCGAGCGUUAUCCGGUAUUAUUGGGCGUAAAGAGUACGUAGGCGGUUAUGUAAGACAAUGGUUAAAGCUCCGAGCUCAACUCGGAAAUCGCCGUUGUAACUACAUGACUAGUCGGUAGCAGGGGCAAGCGGAAUUCUCGGUGUAGGAGUGAAAUCCGUUGAGAUCGAGAAGAACACCAAUGGCGAAGGCAGCUUGCUAGGUUACUUGAGACGCUGAGGUACGAAAGCGUGGGGAGCGAAC
This 250-nucleotide ribosomal RNA is filed under the name uncultured bacterium. Its description in RNAcentral is "partial 16S ribosomal RNA". It matches the Rfam family "Bacterial small subunit ribosomal RNA", at positions 524 to 773 of the family's 1533-position model. The record is from RNAcentral.